ACGGGCCAGACUCCUACGGGAGGCAGCAGUGGGGAAUCUUGCACAAUGGGGGAAACCCUGAUGCAGCGACGCCGCGUGAGCGAUGAAGCCCUUCGGGGUGUAAAGCUCUUUCGGCAGGGAAGAUUAUGACGGUACCUGCAGAAGAAGCCCCGGCCAACUACGUGCCAGCAGCCGCGGUAAUACGUAGGGGGCGAGCGUUGUCCGGAAUUAUUGGGCGUAAAGAGCUCGUAGGCGGCUUUGAAAGUCGGGUGUGAAACCUCCAGGCUCAACCUGGAGCCGCCACUCGAAACUGCAAUGGCUAGAGUCCGGUAGGGGACCAUGGAAUUCCUGGUGUAGCGGUGAAAUGCGCAGAUAUCAGGAGGAACACCAGUGGCGAAGGCGGUGGUCUGGGCCGGAACUGACGCUGAGGAGCGAAAGCGUGGGGAGCGAACAGGAUUAGAUACCCUGGUAGUCCACGCCGUAAACGUUGGGCACUAGGUGUGGGACCCUAUCGACGGGUUCCGUGCCGUAGCUAACGCAUUAAGUGCCCCGCCUGGGGAGUACGGCCGCAAGGCUAAA
This 558-nucleotide ribosomal RNA is filed under the name uncultured soil bacterium. RNAcentral's name for it is "bacterial SSU rRNA". It matches the Rfam family "Bacterial small subunit ribosomal RNA", at positions 326 to 898 of the family's 1533-position model. The record is from RNAcentral.